UAGAGUUUUGAUCCUGGCUCAGGACGAACGCUGGCGGCGUGCUUAACACAUGCAAGUCGAGCGGUAAGGCCACUUCGGUGGUACACGAGCGGCGAACGGGUGAGUAACACGUGAGCAACCUGCCCUUCUCUUCGGAAUAAGCGUUGGAAACGACGUCUAAUGCCGAAUAUGACUUCCUUUUGCAUGAUUGGAAGUGGAAAGCUCCGGCGGAGAGGGAUGGGCUCGCGGCCUAUCAGCUAGUUGGUGUGGGUAAUGGCCCACCAAGGCGACGACGGGUAGCCGGCCUGAGAGGGUGACCGGCCACACUGGGACUGAGACACGGCCCAGACUCCUACGGGAGGCAGCAGUGGGGAAUAUUGGACAAUGGGCGAAAGCCUGAUCCAGCAACGCCGCGUGAGGGAUGACGGCCUUCGGGUUGUAAACCUCUUUCAGCGGGGACGAAGCGAAAGUGACGGUACCCGCAGAAGAAGGACCGGCCAACUACGUGCCAGCAGCCGCGGUAAUACGUAGGGUCCGAGCGUUGUCCGGAAUUAUUGGGCGUAAAGGGCUCGUAGGCGGUCUGUCGCGUCGGGAGUGAAAACUCAGGGCUCAACCCUGAGCGUGCUUCCGAUACGGGCAGACUAGAGGUAUGCAGGGGAGAACGGAAUUCCUGGUGUAGCGGUGGAAUGCGCAGAUAUCAGGAGGAACACCGGG
RNAcentral lists this ribosomal RNA (693 nucleotides) under Aeromicrobium ponti. RNAcentral's name for it is "bacterial SSU rRNA". It matches the Rfam family "Bacterial small subunit ribosomal RNA", at positions 1 to 713 of the family's 1533-position model. Lineage: Bacteria; Bacillati; Actinomycetota; Actinomycetes; Propionibacteriales; Nocardioidaceae. The record is from RNAcentral.